CCUCAAAUCACAGCUGUGCUGGAUGGGAGGGUUACUGUUGGGAACCAGGUGUCUCUGGAUAAGAAUAGCAACCUCUCAGCAAAGACGUCUUGACUCUUCCUCUCCAAAUCUCGUACCCUUGAUCCACAACCAGGAGGAAGAACAUACACAGCAAAGCAACACAACAGGGAAGAAAAUCAGAGGAGAAGAUCACUGAUCCACUACAAAGUUCGUGGCUGCUGGACCCGGGUGGCAGAAAUGGACUAUCGGAUCCCAAAAAAACACCACAGUUCACCACUUCCUCACCAACUUGUAACCUUCUUCCUCUCCACUGGUCAGAGGUGAUCAAGAAUCCGUCGACAGUGCUAGGGCACGGUGAAGUCGGCUGCCGGUGCUAGGGCACAGCGAAGAAGUUCUGUGCGUCGGCGUCGGCACGAUCAGUUGGACUGCCCGAGUCCUCGCAUCUCAGUAGCGGCCAUUCAUUUACCUUAAGGGAUCUUGAGCUCACAACAAGUCAUUUAUCCAAUGACAAUGCCCUCGGGGAGGGUGGAUAUGGAGUUGUAUAUUGUGGGCGUUUGAUAAAUGGUACUGAGGUUGCAGUAAAGAAGCUUGUGAAUAAUCUGAAGAGAAGGAAUUCAUAGUAGAGGUGGAAGCCAUUGGUCAUGUUCGGCAUAAGAAUCUAGUUAGGCUUUUGGAGGAUUGCAUAGAAGGGAUUCACAGGAUGCUCGUGUAUGAGUAUGUCAACAAUGGAAACUUGGAGCAGUGGCUACAAGGAGCUAUGCAUCAAAGAAGCAUCCUUAGUUGGGAGAAGCGCAUGAAGGUCAUCCUUGGCACAGCAAAGGCGUGAAAGAGAAAGACAUAAUUUUGAAGUGUUGAUAAAUAGACGGAGAUAAGCUAUUAUAAUCCAAAAGCAUGUGAGAAAAUGGUCUACUAGAAAGAUCUUUAAUGAACAUCUUGAGGGAUGUUAAACUACUAGAGUGGAAACAUAAGAAAUACACCUCUUGUUUUGAUUGCCGCUCUAUGUCGGGACAAAUCAAAUCCAUAUGGUGAUUUUACCAAAUGUAGCAAAGAUGGAAAUGCAUACAUAUCAUUUGGCCAGUGGGUAAGUAGCAUUCCAAUUUAAGCUUUAUUUCAAGCAACAUUCAUUUAAUUUAUUCUGGGAACUUUUAAUCACAUUUUAAAGUUAUCCAUGUACUUAUUUUUGUUGACUACAGCCUCAACAACAACAACAAGCCAUUAAUUCUGGCCAUUUAUUUAGGGAACUUUUAUAAAA
Long non-coding RNA from Zingiber officinale, 1252 nucleotides. RefSeq lists it as uncharacterized. NCBI's taxonomy places the organism in Eukaryota, Viridiplantae, Streptophyta, Magnoliopsida, Zingiberales, Zingiberaceae. The transcript is spliced from 6 exons. The record is from RefSeq and is a predicted model, not a curated record.